This 435-nucleotide ribosomal RNA is filed under the name uncultured bacterium. RNAcentral's name for it is "bacterial SSU rRNA". It matches the Rfam family "Bacterial small subunit ribosomal RNA", at positions 355 to 786 of the family's 1533-position model. The record is from RNAcentral.
UGAGGAAUAUUGGUCAAUGGGCGGGAGCCUGAACCAGCCAAGUCGCGUGAGGGAAGACGGCCCUAUGGGUUGUAAACCUCUUUUGCCGGGGAGCAAGAGGCGCCACGCGUGGCGCCGUGAGAGUACCCGGAGAAAAAGGCAUCGGCUAACUCCGUGCCAGCAGCCGCGGUAAUACGGAGGAUGCGAGCGUUAUCCGGAUUUAUUGGGUUUAAAGGGUGCGUAGGCGCGCUGUUAAGUCAGCGGUAAAAUUGCGGGGCUCAACCCCCGUCGAGCCGUUGAAACUGGCGGCCUUGAGUAGGCGAGAAGUGUGCGGAAUGCGUGGUGUAGCGGUGAAAUGCAUAGAUAUCACGCAGAACUCCGAUUGCGAAGGCAGCACGCCGGCGCCUUACUGACGCUGAAGCACGAAAGCGUGGGUAUCGAACAGGAUUAGAUACC